UAGGCUGGGCACUGAGGAUAAAGACAAAUGGUUCUGGUUGUUUAGUGUAAAAAAGAAGAAACUACACGGGAAUCGGGGGGCUUGUUUAUUUUGAAUCUGCAGCUCCUGUGUGUGCAUUUGCUUUUUUAUUCUCCUGAACGACUUCUAACUUACUCAGAUGUGAAACUGAAACCUGGCGUGUGUGGACAUUUCCCAAGAGGAAAAAUCCAAGAGCUGUCGUGGAACUGGAGGAGUGUGAUUAAAAAGAGAAAGAGGAAAUAUAAAGAUUGUGCUGGUGCAGCUGAAGGGACUUCAUAGGACCCCACAAAUAUGUUAUGUUAUUCAAGAACUUCUUGCACAAAUAGAAAUCUAGCCACAAAAACCCUGGAUGUAUGAACAGCAGCACAAGAGUAGGGGUGCUCCUCUCCCGUGUGCACGUGUCACUCUCCAGGGGUUUUUAGCAGACUGAUUCUGAUUUUUGGUUCCAUGAUUUAAAAUGAAUGUGAUGGAUAUAGAGAGAACAGCAAAAAUGAUCAAAAGAUCAGAAAAUGAAAUAUCUCAGGACAGAGAAUUAUAACACAGGUUUUGACCCUUAAGUAAAUGCCACAGUGUUUUUGAACUGGAAAAGGGAUGAGUGAUUACAAAACUGGAAAUGAGAAAUGUGACCGAGGCAGUGAAUGGACACCUGACUACAGACAGUGUCACGUGAGGGCCUCAGACAAAUUUCUGCCUGAGAACCGCCAGCCUGCUUUCAGCCUUGUGCCUUCCAAAUUCACACCGUUGGCUGGACUUUUCUGGAGGAAGGGGGAUGUAGAUCUCUGCGUGCCUGCAGCCAUGCCCUGGCCGCCCCUCUGAAAUGGUGCCCAGCUCCCAGAUUUCAGAUUGUCCACUUCUGCGUGGGCCUGUCCAGGUUCCUGGAACCCAGCCUUUGUCUGCACCACCCCAGAACCUGGUGAUGUUCUUGGCCCAGAGCAGUCAAUGGUUUCCGUGGAUGUUUGAUGCAGGAUCACAGGUGACAGAUGGACAGCCAGAGGCUCGGCAUUACCCUCUGUCCACCACACUUCUCACGCUUCCCCACCGACGUAGCUCCUGAAGCAGAUGAGACUCAGCCUGGGUGGUGCAGGAUGUCGUAGGUGACCUGUCCUGCACGACAUUUCUUUUAAGUAUCCAAAAUCUGUUAUCUCAAAAUUCUCUUAAAAUGUAUGCCAAUUUAGCCUAUUAUUCCAUUACAUGUUUGCUUCAAUAUUAUUUUUAAAAUAAAUUACUAGUCAAUUUACUUUAAAUUAUUUGGCUCCUUGCCUCCCUCCCACAAAUAAAACUGCCCCAUAUUCAUCCUAUGGAUUCUAAGCCCUUCUUGCCUCCUGUCAGUGUCUGCAGAGGUAUGAAUACAACCAAUUUGGGACACAUCGCGCUGUGCCACACAGCCGUUCCCAGGCCUGGGCUGAAGGCAGGGCUGGAUAAUACUGCUGCGUAAAACAAGAAGCACCAGCUCAAUGAAGCAGCAUCUACUUCCAGGGCAAAUGUGCUGAACGACACCUGGCUCCAAGCGUUAUCAGAGACAAAUAUGUCUGGACAAGGUUUCAAGACAUUUUGCAACUUAAAUCAAAAGAAACUUCCUGACUUUCCCAGACAUUUAUCAGUGUGGAGCUGAUGUGUUCUAAGCACUGGGCAUAUGAAGAUGAAUACGGUAUGUGCCUUGCCUUGAACAGUCAUAACCCAGCUGAGCAGACAGGAGUAUAAACAGACUGAUGAUAACCAGGGAGAGAGCAUUGAAUGAACUAUU
This is a long non-coding RNA of Manis pentadactyla (Chinese pangolin), 1762 nucleotides long. RefSeq lists it as uncharacterized. The transcript is spliced from 4 exons. The record is from RefSeq and is a predicted model, not a curated record. NCBI's taxonomy places the organism in Eukaryota, Metazoa, Chordata, Mammalia, Pholidota, Manidae.